Molecule: ribosomal RNA, 720 nt
Filed under: Streptomyces scabiei
Lineage: Bacteria; Bacillati; Actinomycetota; Actinomycetes; Kitasatosporales; Streptomycetaceae
Description: bacterial SSU rRNA
Rfam family: Bacterial small subunit ribosomal RNA
Source: RNAcentral
GGCUCAGGACGAACGCUGGCGGCGUGCUUAACACAUGCAAGUCGAACGAUGAAGCCCUUCGGGGUGGAUUAGUGGCGAACGGGUGAGUAACACGUGGGCAAUCUGCCCUUCACUCUGGGACAAGCCCUGGAAACGGGGUCUAAUACCGGAUAACACCUGCCCGGGCAUCUGGGUGGGUUAAAAGCUCCGGCGGUGAAGGAUGAGCCCGCGGCCUAUCAGCUUGUUGGUGAGGUAGUGGCUCACCAAGGCGACGACGGGUAGCCGGCCUGAGAGGGCGACCGGCCACACUGGGACUGAGACACGGCCCAGACUCCUACGGGAGGCAGCAGUGGGGAAUAUUGCACAAUGGGCGAAAGCCUGAUGCAGCGACGCCGCGUGAGGGAUGACGGCCUUCGGGUUGUAAACCUCUUUCAGCAGGGAAGAAGCGAAAGUGACGGUACCUGCAGAAGAAGCGCCGGCUAACUACGUGCCAGCAGCCGCGGUAAUACGUAGGGCGCAAGCGUUGUCCGGAAUUAUUGGGCGUAAAGAGCUCGUAGGCGGCUUGUCACGUCGGGUGUGAAAGCCCGGGGCUUAACCCCGGGUCUGCAUUCGAUACGGGCUAGCUAGAGUGUGGUAGGGGAGAUCGGAAUUCCUGGUGUAGCGGUGAAAUGCGCAGAUAUCAGGAGGAACACCGGUGGCGAAGGCGGAUCUCUGGGCCAUUACUGACGCUGAGGAGCGAAA